GACAUUUAUACAAUAGCUAAUAUUUGCAGAAUACAAAUGUUAAAGAUUCAUGUUCAACUUCUAUUAUUCAACGGAAUCUUCCUAUCGAUUACAUGAAUAAAAACAGGAUAUAAAAAACAAGUGUAAAUGAGAAUAUCUUUAACUUCUUAUGUAUCAGGAACUUCUUUAAAUCCAGCUUGGGCGUAAGGUACACACGAUACCAUCCAUUAUUCACCACGCAAAAUGAUAACACAGUGUAGUCUAUAAGCUCUAAUCUAAGUUAAUGACCUCUAUUUGUUAAAACAUAAAGCACUAUUUUAAGUUAUGUGAUGAGGAAAUCAAUACUUUGGAAUAUUCCCUUUGUACUUAUUAUUCUAUGGAUUUUAAUUUACAAUUCAAGAAUUCAGCGAAAAACGAUCACCAAUGUCGCGUCCGUUUUAAAUAUUUCACCAGAAUCAAAAAAACAAUUUGGAACAAAAUUUAAAAUACUUAACAGAAGUCGGGAAGUCAUACGAUACAACGGAAGACGUAUCACAACAGAGUUUGAACUCUUUUAUCUCAACGUAUCAACAAAAAUGCUGAUGGACCCUCUAAUUCACAAACAUCGAUAUACUUCGUUACUUGAUACGGGAACAACGACGUGUACUGAAAAACAUGUAUUUUUGUUAGUUCUUGUAUAUUCAGCAACAUACAAAUUUGAAGAACGUCAUGUUAUAAGAAAAACAUUUGGAUCUGUUUCAAAAUAUGACAAUAAACAUAUUAAAUAUGUCUUCGUACUUGGACAAACCAUGAAUGAUACUCAACAAAAAGAAAUUGAACAGGAAAGUGUCAAAUACAGAGACAUAAUACAAGGAAUUUUAUAGACAGCUACAGAAAUUUAACAUAUAAACGAGUAUUUAGCUUGUUCUGGGUGAAUAGAUUCUGUAACAAUGUGACUUUUGUCAUAAAAAGUGACGAUGAUAUUACUAUUAACAUACCAUUUCUUAUUCCUUAUCUGAGCAAUAAACUGAACAAAACUAAGGUUUUAGAAUGUUUGUAUCUUAUAGGUAUAAAACCGUACCGUAAACCUCGUAAUAAAUGGCACACGACUCUUUCUGAAUAUCCCUUUGCAACGUUUCCUCCUUAUUGUGCAGGACCUUCCUCCAUUAUGUCAGCUGAUGUUAUCAGAGAAAUGUAUGAAGCGACCACCCUUGUGCCUUUUAUUUGGCUAGAAGAUGUCUAUGGUGGUGGAUUUCUACCCUGGAUUUCACGUAUACAUAUAGUUCAUCCGAAAUGUUAUAGAAAAGAUUUGGGAGCAAGUUUGAAAGACAAGCCAUGCCAUUUAUUUUACAUCAAUAAUAUUAAAAAUGCAAGUCAUCCUUAUAUUAUGUGGAAAACUAUUGAAAAUUAUACACAAAACCAUUUGUGUAAAUGCAAGUAAGAUAUUUUUGUGAUCACCUGUUAAACUAAUCUAAACUAAAAUGUUAUUAAUUGUUGGAAAUUUGUAUUAAGAAUUAGCAGAUAAAACAGUUUAAAUCGUUUAUAAUCUUACCAUAUAGUUCACAGAUGAACAUACAUUUCGUAGAGUGAACCAGACAAUGUUCAGGGUUUAAAUCGUUUAAAAAUAAAAUUUUGUCAGUCUAAUUUGAAGACUAGCUUAUUGUCAAUUUAUCACACAAUUAGAUAGAAAGGGAAAAAUACAAGAAUUAUCUGCUUUUGCAAUAAAUAUUUUCCUUUUUAGUUUAUUGGCACUUCAUAUUUAACAAGUUCUGAAUUUUCAAAUAUGUUGGCACCACUGAAGAGACAUAUAUUAUCGAAAUGCGUUAAUGCUAUUUGACAAAUGACAAUUACCGACAAAAAUGUUUUCAUAUGUGAAUUUACAUUUUGAACUGCAUUCAUCAUUUAAUGAUAAUUUCUUUAGACGAU
RNAcentral lists this long non-coding RNA (1884 nucleotides) under Mytilus galloprovincialis (Mediterranean mussel). The record is from RNAcentral. Lineage: Eukaryota; Metazoa; Mollusca; Bivalvia; Mytilida; Mytilidae.